GCACUGCUGACGAGUCCCAAACAGAACGAAACGCCUGUCCGGUUC
Molecule: non-coding RNA, 45 nt
Filed under: Echinostoma caproni
Lineage: Eukaryota; Metazoa; Platyhelminthes; Trematoda; Plagiorchiida; Echinostomatidae
Source: RNAcentral